This 32-nucleotide ribosomal RNA is filed under the name Neoscytalidium dimidiatum. RNAcentral's name for it is "partial 18S ribosomal RNA". Lineage: Eukaryota; Fungi; Ascomycota; Dothideomycetes; Botryosphaeriales; Botryosphaeriaceae. The record is from RNAcentral.
ACCUUCCGUAGGUGACUGCGGAAGGAUCAUUA